RNAcentral lists this ribosomal RNA (254 nucleotides) under uncultured bacterium. RNAcentral describes it as "partial 16S ribosomal RNA". It matches the Rfam family "Archaeal small subunit ribosomal RNA", at positions 474 to 727 of the family's 1478-position model. The record is from RNAcentral. RNAcentral also lists the same sequence under 2 other names.
CACCGGCAGCUCAAGUGGUGGCCAUUAUUAUUGGGCCUAAAGCGUUCGUAGCCGGUUUGAUAAGUCUCUGGUGAAAUCCCGCAGCUUAACUGUGGGACUUGCUGGAGAUACUAUCAGACUUGAGGUCGGGAGAGGUUAGGGGUACUCCCAGGGUAGGGGUGAAAUCCUAUAAUCCUGGGAGGACCACCUGUGGCGAAGGCGCCUAACUGGAACGAACCUGACGGUGAGUAACGAAAGCCAGGGGCGCGAACCGG